UACGAAGGGGGCUAGCGUUGCUCGGAAUUACUGGGCGUAAAGCGCACGUAGGCGGCUCUUUAAGUCGGGGGUGAAAUCCUGGAGCUCAACUCCAGAACUGCCUUCGAUACUGGAGAGCUUGAGUUCGGGAGAGGUGAGUGGAACUGCGAGUGUAGAGGUGAGAUUCGUAGAUAUUCGCAAGAACACCAGUGGCGAAGGCGGCUCACUGGCCCGAUACUGACGCUGAGGUGCGAAAGCGUGGGGAGCAAACAGG
Molecule: ribosomal RNA, 253 nt
Filed under: uncultured bacterium
Lineage: Bacteria
Description: partial 16S ribosomal RNA
Rfam family: Bacterial small subunit ribosomal RNA
Source: RNAcentral